UACGGGGGGGCAAGCGUUGUUCGGAAUUACUGGGCGUAAAGGGCGCGUAGGCGGCCUAGCAAGUCAAAGGUGAAAUCCCUCGGCUCAACUGAGGAACUGCCUUUGAAACUGCGAGGCUUGAGGCCGGGAGGGGGUAGCGGAAUUCCCAGUGUAGCGGUGAAAUGCGUAGAUAUUGGGAGGAACACCAGUGGCGAAGGCGACCAUCUGGACGGAUACUGACGCUGAGACGCGAAAGCGUGGGUAGCAAACAGG
This 252-nucleotide ribosomal RNA is filed under the name uncultured bacterium. Its description in RNAcentral is "partial 16S ribosomal RNA". It matches the Rfam family "Bacterial small subunit ribosomal RNA", at positions 524 to 776 of the family's 1533-position model. The record is from RNAcentral.